AGAGAGUAUAAAAGAAAUUCAAUUCUUCAUUAUUCUUAAUGAUUAUUCUUUGUCUUUGUUCCCUAGUCCUCAUCAGAUGUCCACUGACAGCACAGGACAUGGAAUCAUCAUCUCAGCUAUAUUUCUUUCACCUUCUGUCCAGAGCCAGAGAGCAGACUCUCGGAGAUGUCCAGUCUAUGUGGAGACCUUUGAGUGACUUGCGGACACAUCUGGUCUGUUUGGUGACCUCUGAGCGACUCCUCCGUGUAACACAAUUCUUUUUUUGAUAUAUAUUUUCUACCAUUUAUUAUUCUUUCUUUAUAUUGUGAAGGACAUAGUUCUCUGGGCUGAGUAGUACGAUAUUUUUAUUGCAUGUUUUCCUUUUUAAGGUGUCACUCCGUUCAAAUUCCUUUUGUAAUUUUCGAUGAGGUGGGGAGUGACACCUUGCAUCUGAUCUG
RNAcentral lists this long non-coding RNA (437 nucleotides) under Androctonus crassicauda. The record is from RNAcentral. Lineage: Eukaryota; Metazoa; Arthropoda; Arachnida; Scorpiones; Buthidae.